AUUGAACGCUGGCGGCAGGCCUAACACAUGCAAGUCGAGCGGAUGAAGGGAGCUUGCUCCUGGAUUCAGCGGCGGACGGGUGAGUAAUGCCUAGGAAUCUGCCUGGUAGUGGGGGAUAACGUCCGGAAACGGGCGCUAAUACCGCAUACGUCCUGAGGGAGAAAGUGGGGGAUCUUCGGACCUCACGCUAUCAGAUGAGCCUAGGUCGGAUUAGCUAGUUGGUGGGGUAAAGGCCUACCAAGGCGAAGAUCCGUAACUGGUCUGAGAGGAUGAUCAGUCACACUGGAACUGAGACACGGUCCAGACUCCUACGAGAGGCAGCAGUGGGGAAUAUUGGACAAUGGGCGAAAGCCUGAUCCAGCCAUGCCGCGUGUGUGAAGAAGGUCUUCGGAUUGUAAAGCACUUUAAGUUGGGAGGAAGGGCAGUAAGUUAAUACCUUGCUGUUUUGACGUUACCAACAGAAUAAGCACCGGCUAACUUCGUG
Molecule: ribosomal RNA, 484 nt
Filed under: uncultured bacterium
Lineage: Bacteria
Description: partial 16S ribosomal RNA
Rfam family: Bacterial small subunit ribosomal RNA
Source: RNAcentral